UCCUUCGGGACUAGUGGCGGACGGGUGAGUAACGCGUGGGAACGUGCCCCUUUCUUCGGAAUAGCCUCGGGAAACUGGGAGUAAUACCGGAUAAGCCCUACGGGGGAAAGAUUUAUCGGGAAGGGAUCGGCCCGCGUUGGAUUAGGUAGUUGGUGGGGUAAUGGCCUACCAAGCCGACGAUCCAUAGCUGGUUUGAGAGGAUGAUCAGCCACACUGGGACUGAGACACGGCCCAGACUCCUACGGGAGGCAGCAGUGGGGAAUCUUAGACAAUGGGGGAAACCCUGAUCUAGCCAUGCCGCGUGAUCGAUGAAGGCCUUAGGGUUGUAAAGAUCUUUCAGAUGGGAAGAUAAUGACGGUACCAUCAGAAGAAGCCCCGGCUAACUCCGUGCCAGCAGCCGCGGUAAUACGGAGGGGGCUAGCGUUAUUCGGAAUUACUGGGCGUAAAGCGCACGUAGGCGGAUCAGAAAGUCAGAGGUGAAAUCCCGGGGCUCAACCCCGGAACGGCCUUUGAAACUCCUGGUCUUGAGG
RNAcentral lists this ribosomal RNA (530 nucleotides) under Gemmobacter sp. RNAcentral's name for it is "bacterial SSU rRNA". It matches the Rfam family "Bacterial small subunit ribosomal RNA", at positions 82 to 647 of the family's 1533-position model. The record is from RNAcentral. Lineage: Bacteria; Pseudomonadati; Pseudomonadota; Alphaproteobacteria; Rhodobacterales; Paracoccaceae.